RNAcentral lists this transfer RNA (75 nucleotides) under Aquipluma nitroreducens. RNAcentral's name for it is "tRNA-Glu". It matches the Rfam family "tRNA". From Rfam's summary of the family: Transfer RNA (tRNA) molecules are approximately 80 nucleotides in length. Their secondary structure includes four short double-helical elements and three loops (D, anti-codon, and T loops). The record is from RNAcentral. Lineage: Bacteria; Pseudomonadati; Bacteroidota; Bacteroidia; Marinilabiliales; Prolixibacteraceae.
GGCGCGUUCUUCUAACGGUUAGGAAACCGGUUUCUCAAUCCGGAGAUGGCAGUUCGAUUCUGCUACGCGCUACAA